RNAcentral lists this ribosomal RNA (434 nucleotides) under uncultured Lachnospiraceae bacterium. RNAcentral describes it as "partial 16S ribosomal RNA". It matches the Rfam family "Bacterial small subunit ribosomal RNA", at positions 341 to 792 of the family's 1533-position model. The record is from RNAcentral. Lineage: Bacteria; Bacillati; Bacillota; Clostridia; Lachnospirales; Lachnospiraceae.
ACGGGAGGCAGCAGUGGGGAAUAUUGGACAAUGGGGGCAACCCUGAUCCAGCGACGCCGCGUGAGUGAAGAAGUAAUUCGUUAUGUAAAGCUCUAUCAGCAGGGACGAUAAUGACGGUACCUGACUAAGAAGCUCCGGCUAAAUACGUGCCAGCAGCCGCGGUGAUACGUAUGGCGCAAGCGUUAUCCGGAUUUACUGGGUGUAAAGGGUGCGUAGGUGGCAUGGCAAGUCAGAAGUGAAAUGCGGGGGCUCAACCCCUGAACUGCUUUUGAAACUGUCAAGCUAGAGUGCAGGAGAGGAAAGCGGAAUUCCUAGUGUAGCGGUGAAAUGCGUAGAUAUUAGGAGGAACACCAGUGGCGAAGGCGGCUUUCUGGACUGUAACUGACGCUGAGGCACGAAAGCGUGGGGAGCAAACAGGAUUAGAUACCCUGGUA